AGUGAACGCUGGCGGUAGGCCUAACACAUGCAAGUCGAACGGCAGCACAGUAAGAGCUUGCUCUUACGGGUGGCGAGUGGCGGACGGGUGAGGAAUACAUCGGAAUCUACUUUUUCGUGGGGGAUAACGUAGGGAAACUUACGCUAAUACCGCAUACGACCUACGGGUGAAAGCAGGGGAUCUUCGGACCUUGCGCGAUAGAAUGAGCCGAUGUCGGAUUAGCUAGUUGGCGGGGUAAAGGCCCACCAAGGCGACGAUCCGUAGCUGGUCUGAGAGGAUGAUCAGCCACACUGGAACUGAGACACGGUCCAGACUCCUACGGGAGGCAGCAGUGGGGAAUAUUGGACAAUGGGCGCAAGCCUGAUCCAGCCAUACCGCGUGGGUGAAGAAGGCCUUCGGGUUGUAAAGCCCCUUUGUUGGGAAAGAAAAGCAGCAGGUUAAUACCCCGCUGUUCUGACGGUACCCAAAGAAUAAGCACCGGCUAACUUCGUG
This 492-nucleotide ribosomal RNA is filed under the name uncultured bacterium. RNAcentral describes it as "partial 16S ribosomal RNA". It matches the Rfam family "Bacterial small subunit ribosomal RNA", at positions 29 to 507 of the family's 1533-position model. The record is from RNAcentral.